GAACACUUGACAGGGAUAUGCCACUGGGAAACUACACCUUGCAUGUCGAUGAAGGCCUGACGAUAAAGAUCUGCAUGUAUGAUGAGGCAGAUCACUUGCCUGUUCAUACAGAGGAUAAAACCUUUUACUCCGAGGAUGAUUUCCGUAACUUCUUAUCACGCAGAGGCUGGUCAUGUUUAAGAGAGUAUAAUGGAUAUCGAAAUGUUGAUAGUAUGGAUGAGCUUUGCCCUGGUGCCGUCUAUCGUGGUGUCAACUAAGGUGGAUCAGUAUGGCCUUGUCCAAAAUUGUGAUAUUUUGCUCAAAAAAGCUCAUUUAGAUAGUCUUAAGUUGUAUAGAUGGUUCUAGCUAUACCUAAUAGUAGCAAAUGGGAGCUAGAUGAAGUAGGGAAGGAC
RNAcentral lists this unclassified non-coding RNA (392 nucleotides) under Hevea brasiliensis (rubber tree). The record is from RNAcentral. Lineage: Eukaryota; Viridiplantae; Streptophyta; Magnoliopsida; Malpighiales; Euphorbiaceae.